This 274-nucleotide ribosomal RNA is filed under the name uncultured bacterium. Its description in RNAcentral is "partial 16S ribosomal RNA". It matches the Rfam family "Bacterial small subunit ribosomal RNA", at positions 523 to 796 of the family's 1533-position model. The record is from RNAcentral.
AUACGGAGGGUGCGAGCGUUAAUCGGAAUUACUGGGCGUAAAGCGUACGUAGGCGGUUGGUUAAGUUAGAUGUGAAAGCCCCGGGCUUAACCUGGGAACUGCAUUUAAAACUGGCGAACUAGAGUUGAGUAGAGGGGAGUGGAAUUUCAGGUGUAGCGGUGAAAUGCGUAGAGAUCUGAAGGAACACCAGUGGCGAAGGCGACUCCCUGGACUCGAACUGACGCUGAGGUACGAAAGCGUGGGAAGCAAACGGGAUUAGAUACCCGAGUAGUCC